RNAcentral lists this transfer RNA (72 nucleotides) under Limosilactobacillus agrestis. RNAcentral's name for it is "Limosilactobacillus sp. WF-MT5-A tRNA-Trp". It matches the Rfam family "tRNA". Rfam says of the family: Transfer RNA (tRNA) molecules are approximately 80 nucleotides in length. The record is from RNAcentral. Lineage: Bacteria; Bacillati; Bacillota; Bacilli; Lactobacillales; Lactobacillaceae.
AUAAGCAUAGUUCAAUUGGCAGAAUAACAGGCCCCAACCCUGUAGAUUGCGGUUCGAGUCCGUGUGCUUAUG